CGAGUGGAAUAUAGAAUACAGUGAAUUGCUAACCCCUGCACCAGUGGGAGAGGGUGGCUUAUAUAGAGUGCGCUGCCCUCCACAACGGUUCGGUGCACAGGGGUGGAGUAGUGGCGAAUAAAUGCCUACGUUACAGGUAACGUACGUCUUAAAUGCUAAUAAAGGCACAUGGAAACGUAUGACCGUUUCCCUCCACGGGGGUUACGAUGCACAGAGUGGAAUCCAGUCGGUUAGUUUGAUAAACUCCGAAUGCUAAUCUCCGGCUGGACGGUCGAGGAUCUGUUACCGACUGGAUGAAGGGAACUCCUUAGUUCAGUCGGAACUGACUAAGGGCCUUGUCCCUUAUGAGGGGUAGUCCUAGGGUUGGACCUUCAGGCCAGGCCUAUGACCCUACCCUAGGACUAUAACCCCAUCAUUAGUCCCCGAAUGGAUUGGGGUUGGAACGACGAAGCGAUGCUUGAAGUUUGGAUCCGACUGGAACGGAUGUGACUUUGGCGUUGCUUGCCUCGAUCCAUUUUAUCUUUUCGGACCAACGAUCCAAGUGGAAGUAUUGGUGGAACAAACUAUCGGAAACCGAGUG
Molecule: long non-coding RNA, 580 nt
Filed under: Hordeum vulgare
Lineage: Eukaryota; Viridiplantae; Streptophyta; Magnoliopsida; Poales; Poaceae
Description: long non-coding RNA (HVUL_LNC012938)
Source: RNAcentral